AUAGCGUAUAUUAAAGUUGUUGCAGUUAAAAAGCUCGUAGUUGAACUUUAGCCUCUUGGCCGGGCUGUCUGCCUCACGGUAUGUACUGUCUGGCUGGGGCUUACCUUCUGGUGAGCUUGCAUGCCGUUUAUUCGGUGUGUGAGGGAACCAGGACUUUUACCUUGAGAAAAUUAGAGUGUUCAAAGCAGGCAAAUGCCCGAAUACAUUAGCAUGGCAUAAUGGAAUAGGACGUGCGGUUCUAUUUUGUUGGUUUCUAGAGUCGCCGUAAUGAUUAAUAGGGAUAGUCGGGGGCAUCCGUAUUCAAUUGUCAGAGGUGAAAUUCUUGGAUUUAUUGAAGACGAACUACUG
Molecule: ribosomal RNA, 348 nt
Filed under: Ice core clone 47-18
Lineage: Eukaryota
Description: SSU rRNA
Rfam family: Eukaryotic small subunit ribosomal RNA
Source: RNAcentral